This 416-nucleotide ribosomal RNA is filed under the name uncultured bacterium. RNAcentral describes it as "bacterial SSU rRNA". It matches the Rfam family "Bacterial small subunit ribosomal RNA", at positions 28 to 440 of the family's 1533-position model. The record is from RNAcentral.
GAUGAACGCUAGCGGCAGGCCUAAUACAUGCAAGACGAACGGUAAGUUGAGUAGCAAUACUUAGCCAAGAGUGUCGUACGGGUGCGUAACACGUAUGCAACCUACCCUAUACAGGAGGAUAGCCUAGGGAAACCUGGAUUAACCCUUCAUAGUAUUAUUGGAUGGCAUCAUUUGAUAAUUAAAACUGAGGUGGUAUAGGAUGGGCAUGCGUCUGAUUAGUUAGUUGGCGGGGUAAUGGCCCACCAAGACGAUGAUCAGUAGGGGUUCUGAGAGGAAGAUCCCCCACACUGGCACUGAGAUACGGGCCAGACUCCUACGGGAGCAGCAGUAGGGAAUAUUGGUCAAUGGAUGCAAGUCUGAACCAGCCAUGCCGCGUGCAGGAAGAAGGCCUUCGUGGGUUGUAAACUGCUUUUGCC